AGCAGCUUUUGCAUCAACUAUCCACGUCUACUUAACCUCAAACUCCUACUGAACCCGUCCAAGGCCGGUGAAGUCGCUGCUUUCAUCCUUCCUGCUUUCCACCUUUGGCCUUUGUUUCUUUGCUCCAGUCAAGCUGUUUUCAAGCCUUGCAUUUUAGGUGCGUGGGUGUUUGGUCUGACACAUGUCUGUGCAGCAUGUGCAGUGCCCGUGGAAGCUUGCAGAAGAUGUUGAAUUUCCUAGAACUGGAGUUAUAGACACUUCGGAGCCACCUUAACAGUGCUGGGAGUCGAACUCCGGUCCUCUGGAGGAGCAGCCAGUCCUCUUACCCUCCAGGUCAGAAGUUCAAUCCAUUAUCAUCGAGGCAGGAACAUGGCAGUGUCCAGGCAGGCAUGGUGCAGGAGGAGCUGAGAGUUCUACAUCUUCGUCUGAAGGCUGCUAGGAUGGGGGACUUAAAGCCCAUACCCACAGUGACACACCUACUCCAGCAAGGCCACACCUACUCCAACAGGGCCACACCUUCUAAUAGUGCCACUCCCUGGACUGAGCAUAUACAAACCAUGACACCUACUUUCCCUGUCCAGACACAAUUUGCCUUAGGUUCUGGUUCAUCCUUUCUGUUGUUAGUCAUGGGGAGUAGCUUCCCAGGAUUUUCUGGGGGACAUUUUGUUGCCAUUUCUUCCUGGAUGUGCUUGAAUGGAAGGACAGAGCCUGGGCCCUGGCAUUGGCUGCCCCUGUUUCUGGUCUGAGCUCCACAUACCCCAUCUUUGCACUGUUGGGGAAACUCAUCUCCUGCACGUCUAGUGAAAGGAGGCGUUUGAGUGAGUCCCAGUGGCUUCCUAAUCUGACUCCUGGAACAAAAGACCACAAACGUGGCUUCAGCUUUCACAAGGAAAUUUAUUCUCUCCUGGUUCUAGAGGACAGCUCUUUUCUGGACUAAACUGAGGUUCUGGCAGACCCACCUUCCCCCUGGAGCUCCGGGAGAGAACGCAUCCUUGCUUCUGGGUGCAGCUAUACUCCCCACCUCUGUCACCUCUUCUCCAUGUGUAUCGAGUCACACACUUAAAGGACUCUGUGGUUGCAUUUAGGGACCAUCUCCCUACUCGCAGGUCCUUAAUUUAAGUCCAUGCACCUGCAGUCUUUGUCAUGUAAGGUGGCAUCUCACAAGUCAGAGGGAUGAGGACAUGAUGUAGCCGGUAUCAUUACUCAGACCUUCACCCUCAUCAGCCACAAGAGCUCAUUGUGACACUCCAGGGACACGAUAUAUGUGAAAAUACCUUCUGUGUUUUCAGAGGUUUAUCUACUUUCAUUUUAUAUGUGUGAUUCUUUUGCCUGCAUGUGUGUAUCUGUAGCAAGUGCAUGCCUGAUGCCAAUAGAGGCCCAAGGAGGGCAUCAGAUUUUCUGGAAUUGGAGUUAUGGAUAAUUGCAAGCUGUCAUAGUGUCUGCAGGAGCAUCAAAUACUCUUAACCCUGGAGCCAACUCUCCAGCCCCAGGACAACACCAUGUUGAUGACAGCCAGCUAAGAUGUUCAGAUACCAUUUGUACUGGCUAGUUUUGUGUCAACUUGACAC
RNAcentral lists this long non-coding RNA (1568 nucleotides) under Mus musculus (house mouse). RNAcentral describes it as "predicted gene, 48500". The record is from RNAcentral. Lineage: Eukaryota; Metazoa; Chordata; Mammalia; Rodentia; Muridae.